Molecule: ribosomal RNA, 497 nt
Filed under: uncultured bacterium
Lineage: Bacteria
Description: partial 16S ribosomal RNA
Rfam family: Bacterial small subunit ribosomal RNA
Source: RNAcentral
ACUCAAAGGAAUUGACGGGGGCCCGCACAAGCGGUGGAGUAUGUGGUUUAAUUCGAAGCAACGCGCAGAACCUUACCUACCCUUAACAUCCCGCGCUACACACAGAGAUGUGUGGUUCCUUUCGGGGACGCGGAGAUAGGUGCUGCAUGGCUGUCGUCAGCUCGUGUCGUAAGAUGUCUGGUUAAGUCCAAAAACGAGCGCAACCCUUGUCUUUAGUUGCCACCAUUCAGUUGGGGACUCUAGAGAGACUGCCGGUGUUAAACCGGAGGAAGGCGGGGAUGACGUCAAGUCCUCAUGGCCCUUACGGGUAGGGCUACACACGUACUACAAUGGCAGAGACAAACCGUUGCCAAGCCGAGAGGUGGAGCUAAUCGGAAAAACACUGUCUCAGUCCGGAUUGGAGUCUGCAACUCGACUCCAUGAAGAUGGAAUCGCUAGUAAUCGCUGAUCAGCAAGCAGCGGUGAAUACGUUCCCGGGCCUUGUACACACCGCCCGU